GACGAACGCUGGCGGCGUGCUUAACACAUGCAAGUCGAACGCUGAAGCUCAGCUUUUGUUGGGUGGAUGAGUGGCGAACGGGUGAGUAACACGUGAGUAACCUGCCUCCUUCUUUGGGAUAACGCCCGGAAACGGGUGCUAAUACUGGAUAUUCACUGGUCUUCGCAUGGGGGGUGGUGGAAAGGGAUUUUCUGGGGGGGGAUGGGCUCGCGGCCUAUCAGCUUGUUGGUGGGGUGAUGGCCUACCAAGGCUUUGACGGGUAGCCGGCCUGAGAGGGUGACCGGUCACAUUGGGACUGUGAUACGGCCCAGGCUCCUACGGGAGGCAGCAGUGGGGAAGAUUGCACAAUGGGCGCAAGCCUGAUGCAGCGACGCCGCGUGAGGGAUGGAGGCCUUCGGGUUGUGAACCUCUUUCGCUCAUGGUCAAGCCGAAACAAUGGUUGUGGUGAGGGUAGUGGGUAAAGAAGCGCCGGCUAACUACGUG
Molecule: ribosomal RNA, 483 nt
Filed under: uncultured bacterium
Lineage: Bacteria
Description: partial 16S ribosomal RNA
Rfam family: Bacterial small subunit ribosomal RNA
Source: RNAcentral